RNAcentral lists this ribosomal RNA (430 nucleotides) under Cladonia stygia. RNAcentral describes it as "SSU rRNA". It matches the Rfam family "Bacterial small subunit ribosomal RNA", at positions 483 to 926 of the family's 1533-position model. Lineage: Eukaryota; Fungi; Ascomycota; Lecanoromycetes; Lecanorales; Cladoniaceae. The record is from RNAcentral.
UACCUAAGUCUUGACCAAAUUACGUGCCAGCAGUCGCGGUAAUACGUAAAAGACUAGUGUUAUUCAUCUUUAAUUGGUUUAAAGGGUACCUAGACAGCGAAUAAAGCCAUUGUAGGGACUGAUUCGCUAGAGUUACUUAUGAGGGGGUAUUAAAGUACUGCAGGUGUAGAGAUGAAAUUUUGUUAUACCUCUUUUCGUAUGAGAAACUAUGGCACAGGUAUAGGUGAAAGCAUCCCCUUAUGUGAUAACUGACGUUGAGGGACGAAGGCUUUGUAUGCGAACAGGAUUAGAUACCCCAAUAGUCAAAGCAGAAAAUGAUGAAUGUCAUAGAUUAGAUAUACAAUUUAUUCUAUAAAUGAAAGUGUAAGCAUUCCACCUCAAGAGUAAUUUGGCAACAUUGGAACUGAAAUCAUUAGACCGUUUCUGAAAC